GCCUGGCUAGCUCAAUCGGUAGAGCGUGAGACUCUUAAUCUCAAGGUUGCGGGUUCGACCCCCGCGUUAGGCU
RNAcentral lists this transfer RNA (73 nucleotides) under Thermothielavioides terrestris NRRL 8126. RNAcentral describes it as "tRNA-Lys (CTT) (tRNA-Lys-CTT-3-1)". It matches the Rfam family "tRNA". From Rfam's summary of the family: Transfer RNA (tRNA) molecules are approximately 80 nucleotides in length. Lineage: Eukaryota; Fungi; Ascomycota; Sordariomycetes; Sordariales; Chaetomiaceae. The record is from RNAcentral.